GACGAACCGUGCGAACGUUGUUCGGAAUCACUGGGCGUAAAGCGCACGUAGGCGGCUUUCUAAGUCAGAGGUGAAAUCCUGGAGCUCAACUCCAGAACUGCCUUUGAUACUGGAAAGCUUGAGUUCGGGAGAGGUGAGUGGAACUGCGAGUGUAGAGGUGAAAUUCGUAGAUAUUCGCAAGAACACCAGUGGCGAAGGCGGCUCACUGGCCCGAUACUGACGCUGAGGUGCGAAAGCGUGGGGAGCAAACAGG
This 253-nucleotide ribosomal RNA is filed under the name uncultured bacterium. Its description in RNAcentral is "partial 16S ribosomal RNA". It matches the Rfam family "Bacterial small subunit ribosomal RNA", at positions 524 to 776 of the family's 1533-position model. The record is from RNAcentral.